RNAcentral lists this ribosomal RNA (459 nucleotides) under uncultured bacterium. RNAcentral describes it as "SSU rRNA". It matches the Rfam family "Bacterial small subunit ribosomal RNA", at positions 26 to 518 of the family's 1533-position model. The record is from RNAcentral.
AGAAUCAACGCUGGCGGCGUGCCUAACACAUGCAAGUCGCACGAGAAAGGGUAGCAAUACCUGAGUACAGUGGCGCACGGGUGAGUAACACGUGAAUAAUCUACCUCCGAGUGGGGAAUAACUGAGAGAAAUCUUAGCUAAUACCGCAUAACACUUACGAGUCAAAGCAGCAAUGCGCUUGGAGAGGAGUUCGCGGCCGAUUAGUUAGUUGGCGGGGUAAUGGCCCACCAAGACGAUGAUCGGUAUCCGGCCUGAGAGGGCGCACGGACACACUGGAACUGAAACACGGUCCAGACUCCUACGGGAGGCAGCAGUGGGGAAUUUUGCGCAAUGGGGGAAACCCUGACGCAGCAACGCCGCGUGGAGGAUGAAGCCCCUUGGGGUGUAAACUCCUUUCGAUCGGGAAGAUAAUGACGGUACCGAUAUAAGAGCCCCGGCUAACUUCGUGCCAGCAGCCGC